UGGGGAAUAUUGGACAAUGGGCGCAAGCCUGAUCCAGCAAUGCCGCGUGGAUGAAGAAGGUUUUCGGAUUGUAAAGUCCUUUCGGCGGGGACGAUGAUGACGGUACCCGCAGAAGAAGCCCCGGCUAACUUCGUGCCAGCAGCCGCGGUAAUACGAAGGGGGCUAGCGUUGCUCGGAAUGACUGGGCGUAAAGGGCGCGUAGGCGGAGUGCUUUGUCGGGCGUGAAAUUCCAGGGCUUAACCUUGGGGCUGCGUUCGAGACGGGUAUUCUAGAGUGUGGAAGAGGGUCGUGGAAUUCCCAGUGUAGAGGUGAAAUUCGUAGAUAUUGGGAAGAACACCGGUGGCGAAGGCGGCGACCUGGUCCAAGACUGACGCUGAGGCGCGAAAGCGUGGGGAGCAAACA
RNAcentral lists this ribosomal RNA (402 nucleotides) under uncultured Acetobacteraceae bacterium. RNAcentral describes it as "partial 16S ribosomal RNA". It matches the Rfam family "Bacterial small subunit ribosomal RNA", at positions 355 to 774 of the family's 1533-position model. RNAcentral also lists the same sequence under 1 other name. Lineage: Bacteria; Pseudomonadati; Pseudomonadota; Alphaproteobacteria; Acetobacterales; Acetobacteraceae. The record is from RNAcentral.